GCUUGGCCCUAAACCUCAGUAGUUAGAUAACAAAACUACUCGCCAGAAUACUACGAGCUACAGCUUAAAACUCAAAGGACUUGACGGUGCUUUACACCCCCUAGAGGAGCCUGUUCCGUAAUCGAUAAACCCCGAUCCACCCCACCCUCUCUUGCUCAGCCUAUAUACCGCCAUCUUCAGCAAACCCCAAUGAAGGUCACAAAGUGAGCGCAAACGCCACCACCGCGAAUACGUUAGGUCAAGGUGUAGCCUAUGAGAUGGUAAAAAAUGGGCUACAUUUUCUACCUCAGAAAAUUCCACGAAAGCCCUUAUGAAAUUUAAGGACCCAAGGAGGAUUUAGCAGUAAAUUAAGAAUAGAGUGCUUAAUUGAACUAGGCCAUAAAGCGCGC
RNAcentral lists this ribosomal RNA (389 nucleotides) under Macaca mulatta (Rhesus monkey). Its description in RNAcentral is "12S ribosomal RNA". It matches the Rfam family "Bacterial small subunit ribosomal RNA", at positions 794 to 1384 of the family's 1533-position model. The record is from RNAcentral. Lineage: Eukaryota; Metazoa; Chordata; Mammalia; Primates; Cercopithecidae.